RNAcentral lists this ribosomal RNA (253 nucleotides) under uncultured bacterium. RNAcentral's name for it is "partial 16S ribosomal RNA". It matches the Rfam family "Bacterial small subunit ribosomal RNA", at positions 524 to 776 of the family's 1533-position model. The record is from RNAcentral.
UACAGAGGUCUCAAGCGUUGUUCGGAUUCAUUGGGCGUAAAGGGUGCGUAGGUGGCGCUGUAAGUCGGGUGUGAAAUUUCGGAGCUUAACUCCGAAACUGCAUUCGAUACUGCGGUGCUUGAGGACUGGAGAGGAGACUGGAAUUCAUGGUGUAGCAGUGAAAUGCGUAGAGAUCAUGAGGAAGACCAGUGGCGAAGGCGGGUCUCUGGCCCGAUACUGACGCUGAGGUGCGAAAGCCAGGGGAGCAAACGGG